Molecule: long non-coding RNA, 303 nt
Organism: Dalotia coriaria
Lineage: Eukaryota; Metazoa; Arthropoda; Insecta; Coleoptera; Staphylinidae
Exons: 2
Source: RefSeq, a predicted model, not a curated record
CACGCGGCGCUCUAAAUGUCGGACGCAACGGACGAAUCUGGAGUCUGGUGUCGCUAGGUUAUUUUUAAGCAAUGGCGCAUGGUCGCUAUCGCAUAACCAUACAUGGCCUCACCAGGAAAGGCCUCGGACGCCGCACGUGUGUGUGCGACGAGGAAAUUCCAGGUUAUUGAAACAUGGCGUCUGUGCACUGUCAUAACUUCGGGUUGUUUAUUAAUAACUGAUGUUUUUUUAUUAUUAUAUGAAUUGCAUAAUUAAGUAAUUAUAAUUAAUAAUAAUAAAUAAUAUAAUAUAUGAUAUUCACAA